Molecule: transfer RNA, 72 nt
Filed under: Camelus bactrianus (Bactrian camel)
Lineage: Eukaryota; Metazoa; Chordata; Mammalia; Artiodactyla; Camelidae
Also listed under: 2 other names
Rfam family: tRNA
About the family: Transfer RNA (tRNA) molecules are approximately 80 nucleotides in length. Their secondary structure includes four short double-helical elements and three loops (D, anti-codon, and T loops).
Source: Rfam by way of RNAcentral
GAGGGUAGAGCUCAGUGGUAGAGUGCAUGCCUAGUAAGCAUGAGGUCCCAGGUUCAAUCCUCAGAACCUGCU